GAGCACGUAGGUGGGUUUGUAAGUCAGAUGUGAAAGCCUUCUAUUCAAAGGAAGAGCGGCAUCUGAAACUGCAGAUCUUGAGUGUAGGAGGGGAGAGUGGAACUUCUGGUGGAGCGGUGAAAUGCGUAGAUACCAGAAGGAACGUCGGCGGCGAAAGCGACUCUCUGGCCUAUUACUAACACUGAGUGUGCGAAAGUUGGGGGAGCAAACGGGAUUAGAUACCCCGGUAGUCCUAACUGUAAACGAUGGGCACUAAGUAGAGGGGU
RNAcentral lists this ribosomal RNA (266 nucleotides) under uncultured Planctomycetota bacterium. RNAcentral describes it as "uncultured planctomycete partial 16S ribosomal RNA". It matches the Rfam family "Bacterial small subunit ribosomal RNA", at positions 565 to 829 of the family's 1533-position model. Lineage: Bacteria; Pseudomonadati; Planctomycetota. The record is from RNAcentral.